RNAcentral lists this ribosomal RNA (1868 nucleotides) under metagenome. RNAcentral describes it as "SSU rRNA". It matches the Rfam family "Eukaryotic small subunit ribosomal RNA". The record is from RNAcentral.
CUGGUUGAUCCUGCCAGUAGUCAUAUGCUUGUCUCAAAGAUUAAGCCAUGCAUGUCUAAGUUCAAGCGAAAAUAAAGUGAAACCGCGAAUGGCUCAUUACAUCAGUUAUGGUUCCUUAGAUCGCACUUACUACUUGGAUAACUGUGGUAAUUCUAGAGCUAAUACAUGCGCUGGGCUCCAACCCUCGUGGAAGGAGCGCUUUUAUUAGAUCAAAGCCAAUCGGGCCUUCGGGUCCGUUCUUUUGGUGACUCUGAAUAACUUUGCUGAUCGCAUGGUCUCGUACCGGCGACGUAUCUUUCAAGUGUCUGCCUUAUCAACUGUCGAUGGUAGGUUAUGCGCCUACCAUGGUGGUAACGGGUAACGGGGAAUCAGGGUUCGAUUCCGGAGAGGGAGCCUGAGAAACGGCUACCACAUCCAAGGAAGGCAGCAGGCGCGCAAAUUACCCACUCCCAGCUCGGGGAGGUAGUGACGAAAAAUAACGAUACGGAACUCUUACGAGGCUCCGUAAUCGGAAUGAGUACACUUUAAAUCCUUUAACGAGGAUUUAUUGGAGGGCAAGUCUGGUGCCAGCAGCCGCGGUAAUUCCAGCUCCAAUAGCGUAUACUAAUAUUGCUGCGGUUAAAAAGCUCGUAGUUGGAUCUCGUUUUCGGGCGAGCGGUGCACCUUGCGGUGUCUACUGUUUGCCCGGACGAUUUUGUUGGUUCGUUCAUGGUUCUCUUAAUCGAGUGCCAUGGGUGGCCAGCACGUUUACUUUGAAAAAAAUUAGAGUGAUUAAAACAGAUAUUAUUAUGUCUGUAUAAAUUAGCAUGGGAUAAUCGAAUAAGAAUCAGGAUAUUUGUUUUGAUUUGGUUAAAUAAAAGAAUAAGUUUUCCUUUGGUUAAUUUAUUUCUUUUAUCAAAUACCUGAUUACAUGAUUAAUAGGGACAGUUGGGGUCCUUCGUAUUGAAUUGUGAGAGGUGAAAUUCUAAGAUCAAUUCAAGACGUACUAAUGCGAAAGCAUUGGACAAGGAUGUUUUCAUUAAUCAAGAACGAAAGUUGGGGGAUCGAAGAUGAUCAGAUACCGUCGUAGUCCUAACCGUAAACUAUGUCGACUAAAGAUUAGUUAAAGUCUAUUGAAUAAAUGACUUUACUAGUAUUAUAACGAGAAAUCUCAAGUUUUCGGAUUCCGGGGGGAGUAUGGUCGCAAGGCUGAAACUUAAAGGAAUUGACGGGAGGGCACCACCAGGAGUGGAACCUGCGGCUCAAUUGGACCCAACGCCGGGAAACUCACCAGGUCCGGACACAAGAAGGAUUGACAAAUUAUAGUUCUUUCUUGAUUUUGUGUAAAGUGGUGCAUGGCCGUUUUUAGUUGGUGGAUUGAUUUGUCUGGUUUACUCCGUUAACGAACGAGACCUUAACUUAUUAAAUAGUAACCUAAACAACACAUUUAAUAAGAAUGGUACUUAUGUAUCAUUUUUAAAUAAUUAGGCUUUAAUACUUCUUAAAAGGACAUUUCAUGUUUAAUGAAAGGAAGAUUGAGGCAACAACAGGCCUGUGAUGCCCUUCGAUGUUCUGGGCUGCACGCGUGUUACAAUGUUAUAAACAACGAGUUUUAAAGAUCCUAACCUGAAUAAGGUAGAGGUAAUCUUUUAAAACUAUAACAUGAUUGGGAUAGAUCCUUGUAAUUAUUGGUCUUGAACGAGGAAUUCCUAGUAAAUAUAAGUAAUCAUCUUAUGUUGAUUACGUCCCUGCCCUUUGUACACACCGCCCGUCGCUCCUACCGAUUGAAUGUCAAGGUGAGGAUUUAGGAUGUAGAGUUUGAAUAUAAUAAAAAAUUUGGAAGAUAGGAAUUUAUUCUUAUUGGAAAAAUUUCUUUUUAUUCUAAAGAU